GUGCGCUCCGGGCCGCGCUCGCCCGCUGGGUGUUGGGGCUCGGGGGGGGACUCUGGGGAGUCCGACUCUCCAGACCGAUUCCCCUGGCAAGGCAGAGCCACAUGGAGCAGGUGACACAGGAUCGCACCUAGGUGGGGUUUGGAAUCUCUCCACAGGAGAGUCCACGGCCUCCCUGGGCAGCCGGUCCCAGUGCUCUGCCCUCCACGUAAAGAAGUUCUUCCUCAUGUUGAGGUCCAGUCCUGUUUAAUCAAUCAUGACAGUCAUGGGCAAAUGUCACUCACCCGUGGGUUAGUGACGAAGAUCAGGUGACGGUGAUGCUUACGGAGUGGGGAGGAGGAAGUGACUCAACGCACCAGCAAUAACAAACCAGUUCUGGGAAGCCAACUUGCUGUAUGGAUAUAUGGACAUCUGCUAAAUAAGUAUCUAAAUAUAUGCUAAAUAUCUUCCCUUCGGGUUCAUUAAUUCCUUUAGGGCAAAAAAUGUAUCUUGUAAACUUGACUGUAAUAAACCCCAUUCUUCCAAGUACCACCAAAUUACCACAGUGCAGCUUUGACUUAAUAAUUCCAGUGUAACUGUUUUGAUUUUAUUUUGUAAUAAAAGUCCUCUGAACCUUUUUGAA
Molecule: long non-coding RNA, 619 nt
Organism: Agelaius phoeniceus (red-winged blackbird)
Lineage: Eukaryota; Metazoa; Chordata; Aves; Passeriformes; Icteridae
Source: RefSeq, a predicted model, not a curated record